UCAGAGUCACAGCUCCAGCGAGUGGACUUCUCCAACAUCUCACAGCAGCUCCGGCAAGAGUCCACCUGCACUUAUUAAAGAAGAGGGGGAAGAGAACACUCCUGCUUCAUGCUUUCAUCACUCAGUUGCCCACAGACCGACUCGGCCCUCCACAGCACCCAACAGGCUGGAGACAGAGGAAGGACCUUCUACAAUAUUUCACUCAGUUUCGGAUGGUAGUGAGACAAGUACAGUUAGUGAGCUGGAGGAGUGUCAGGAACGUAUGCGGAUUGGUGCAUUUCGUGUGCAGUAUGACUCAGAGACUGAUGAAACCAGAAGCUAUACUGCCAGAUCCAGCUCUGUGUCAGAGGAACCCACCGAUGCUUUCCAAGAAUACAUCAGAGGCAUGUGAGAGUGAUGUCCGACUUCGUCCAAAGUCAUUUAUACGGCCAGUUUUUAAUCAUCCUCACAUGAGGAACUUGAAGAAAACUGAUCCAGUGGCAAAGUUUUUCCAGUAUAAGCAGGACUGGGAGAUGUUAAAACCUGGGUCAUUAGGGAACAACUUACGUAUCAGCCUCCACCACAGAGACCUCAGAAGACGUACUACCCCAACACUUAUGUGGUUCCAACAGAGAAGAAGCGUUCUGCUCUAA
This 632-nucleotide long non-coding RNA is filed under the name Carassius auratus (goldfish). RNAcentral's name for it is "lncRNA (ENSCARG00000030575.1)". The record is from RNAcentral. Lineage: Eukaryota; Metazoa; Chordata; Actinopteri; Cypriniformes; Cyprinidae.